Molecule: ribosomal RNA, 454 nt
Filed under: Cleptes splendidus
Lineage: Eukaryota; Metazoa; Arthropoda; Insecta; Hymenoptera; Chrysididae
Description: partial 16S ribosomal RNA
Source: RNAcentral
CUGCUCAAUGAAUAUUUUAAAUAGCCGCAGUAUAUUGACUGUGCAAAGGUAGCAAAAUAAUUUGUCUUAUAAUUGAAGACUGGAAUGAAAGAGUGAAUGAAGUAGAAUCUUUAUUAUUUUAAAAUUUUAAAUUUAAUUUUAAGUAAAAAUUCUUAAAUAAAUUUAAAAGACGAGAAGACCCUAUAGAAUUUUAAUUAUUAAGAUAUUAAAUAAAAAUAUUUUAUAAUUUAUAUUUUAUAUAUUUAAUAAUUUUUACUGGGGCAGUAUUUAAAUUAAUUAAAAUUUAAAUUUUAAUAACAUGAAUUAAUGAUUAAUUGAUUUUUUUAAAAUUAUUAGAAAAAAUUACCUUAGGGAUAACAGCGUAAUAUUUUUGGAGAGUACUAAUCAAUAAUAAUGUUUGCGACCUCGAUGUUGAAUUAAGAUUAAUAUUAGGUGUAGAAGUUUAAUUUUUAAG